CCAGGUCUUGACAUCCAGUGCAAACCUAAGAGAUUAGGUGUUCCCUUCGGGGACGCUGAGACAGGUGGUGCAUGGCUGUCGUCAGCUCGUGUCGUGAGAUGUUGGGUUAAGUCCCGCAACGAGCGCAACCCUUGUCAUUAGUUGCCAUCAUUAAGUUGGGCACUCUAAUGAGACUGCCGGUGACAAACCGGAGGAAGGUGGG
RNAcentral lists this ribosomal RNA (202 nucleotides) under uncultured bacterium. Its description in RNAcentral is "partial 16S ribosomal RNA". It matches the Rfam family "Bacterial small subunit ribosomal RNA", at positions 974 to 1177 of the family's 1533-position model. The record is from RNAcentral.